AGUGAACGCUGGCGGUAGGCCUAACACAUGCAAGUCGAACGGCAGCACAGUAAGAGCUUGCUCUUACGGGUGGCGAGUGGCGGACGGGUGAGGAAUACAUCGGAAUCUACUUUUUCGUGGGGGAUAACGUAGGGAAACUUACGCUAAUACCGCAUACGACCUACGGGUGAAAGCAGGGGAUCUUCGGACCUUGCGCGAUUGAAUGAGCCGAUGUCGGAUUAGCUAGUUGGCGGGGUAAAGGCACACCAAGGCGACGCUCCGUAGCUGGUCUGAGAGGAUGAUCAGCCACACUGGAACUGAGACACGGUCCAGACUCCUACGGGAGGCAGCAGUGGGGAAUAUUGGACAAUGGGCGCAAGCCUGAUCCAGCCAUACCGCGUGGGUGAAGAAGGCCUUCGGGUUGUAAAGCCCUUUUGUUGGGAAAGAAAAGCAGCAGGUUAAUACCCCGCUGUUCUGACGGUACCCAAAGAAUAAGCACCGGCUAACUUCGUG
RNAcentral lists this ribosomal RNA (492 nucleotides) under uncultured bacterium. RNAcentral describes it as "partial 16S ribosomal RNA". It matches the Rfam family "Bacterial small subunit ribosomal RNA", at positions 29 to 507 of the family's 1533-position model. The record is from RNAcentral.